This is a long non-coding RNA of Eriocheir sinensis (Chinese mitten crab), 3194 nucleotides long. RefSeq lists it as uncharacterized. NCBI's taxonomy places the organism in Eukaryota, Metazoa, Arthropoda, Malacostraca, Decapoda, Varunidae. The transcript has 4 exons. The record is from RefSeq and is a predicted model, not a curated record.
UCGCCACACACCACUCACUAUCAACAUCAGCCGUUCCUUGUCCUUCCUCCACCCGUACCGUACCCGUAUCACACCCCGAGUGCUGCUGCCCGCCCUGCUGAUUUGCCUGGCUGUCUCCCUCCCUCAGUGUGCCCGGGAAACAGUACAAGGAGGUGGCAUGUGACUAAGGAGACGAGGGAGCGAGGGGCAAGAUGGCGAGAACGAUGUGUGAAGACGAAGUAAGAGGGAGGAGUUGGGUCCUGCUGGUGCAACUCUUGGCUUCAGUACUGAUGGCCGCCGGCAGUCGUGAUGGGAGGAGGAGAGGACAACAAAGAGAAACUGAGAGCUGCUGUAGUCAGUCCCGCCCCACCGUACGUGUAGCUUGAGGAGAUCAGGCGUCGCAGCAGUCACGGCUCGGGUGAAGUCCCUCGCAUAUGUAAGACCCAGGAAGAGGAUGAAGAAGGCUACGAAAUCUCUGCUGUUAUCGCCAAACCGAUCGAUGGGCUGCUGCAGAGAAAGGAGGGACAAAGGACUGACGUGGUGUGUGCACAUCCCCUGUUGGAGACGUCAUCGCCGCCAAGGGAUUGUGGGAGGCAGGGGUUUAUUUUUUUUAUUUAUUUAUUUUUUUUUUUUUUUGUGCCAAUAUAUUUGAGAAAAGGUGACUGGGGGAAAAGUCUGCGGGAAACACCCAUCAGCUUCAAGUAUGUUUUCUAAUGUCCAUAUGAGGGAGAGAGAGGAAGGAGGAGGAGGAAACAUGGAAACAUGGACUAGCAGGCAGCAGAAAGCCUGCUGGCUCAUUACUAGGCUGCCUGCUUUCAGUGAUUUAAUCAAUCCGUUUGCCAUAGGAGUGGCUUGCAGGGAAGGAUUAAAGCACUUGUGUACCUACUCUUGGAUACGUUCAGUUCACUCCCAAUGCAGCAAAGUGGCGAUCAAUGCGAUUCUUGAAUGAGUUGAUGGUCUCUGCGCUAACCACUUCUGCAGGAAGGCUGUUUCAGUGGCGAACCACUUUAUUCGAGAAAUAACUCCUGCCGAUGUCGGUAUUGCAUCGUUUUGCUUGAAUUGUUUUUCCGUUGUUUCUUGUUCUCAGGUUAGUUUGUAGCGUGAAAAGCUUGGAGUGAUCAAUGUUGCUGAGCUUGUUCAGGUACUUAAAGACUUGUAUCAUGUCUCCCCGCAGUCGUCUCUUUUCCAACGUGAAGAGGUUGAGUCACUCGAGUCGCUCUUCAUAGGGCUUCGUCCUCAGUGAUGAUAUCAUCUUCGUGGCGUGGCGCUGUACUCUCUCAAGUAAUUCAAUGUCCUUCCAGUAAUUUGGAGACCAGAACUGCACGGUGUAUUCCAAGUGGGGCCUUACCAGCGAGUUAUACAAGGAUAACAUAACUCCCGGCGUCUUGUAUUCGAAGUUCCUCGCUAUGAACCCAAGCAUUGUAUUGGCUUUCUUACAGGCGGACUUGCAGUGUUUUGUUUGUUUCAAGUCACUGCUGAUGAUGACCCCGAGGUCUCUUUCCUCUUGCAUAACACAUAGUGGUUCCCCACCCAUGUGGUAUGUGUGAUUGCGGUUUCUGGAUCUGAUAUGCAUUACUUUACAUUUGGUAGUGUUGAAGGACAUCUACCAUUAUUCCGACCACCGAGUGAUCAGGUCCAGGUCUCUCUGGAUAAUUUCGCAGUCUGCUGUCGUGAGAGCCUUCCCACCCACCUUUAUGUCGGCGGCAAAUUUUGUAAGAUUGGAUCUUAAUCCUUGUUCUAGGUCGUUGAUAUAUAUGAUGAAGAGUAUGGGUCCCAGCACUGACCCCUGUGGCACUCCACUUGUGACCGGGAGCCACUCGGAGGCCUGUCCGUUGAGUACAACUCGUUGUUUCCUUCCAGUGAGCCAGUCUUUGAUCCACGCUGUCAGAUUGCCGCCUAACCCCGCCGACUUGAGUUUCUUGAGGAGGAGUUGAGGAGUCGAAGGCUUUUUGAAAGUCUAGAUAUAUAACCACUGGGGAUAUGAAUAUCCCAGUUUGGGAAGAAGUCCAGUAAAUUGGUUAAGCAUGAGCGCUUAUUCCUGAAACCGUGCUGAGCAUCGGAAAUGAUGAUGAUGUCUUCAAGGAACCUAACGAGUUUGUCUCUGAUGAUCUUCUCGAGGAUUUUUCCGGCCACUGAGGUCAAGCUGAUUGGUCUGUAGUUUAGGGCCACGCUUUUGUCUCCCUUUUUGAAGAUCGGUGUUACAUUCGCUUGUUUCCAGUCUUUCGGGACUUUGUUUUGUUGUAGUGACAGAUUGUAGAUGGCAGUGAGUGGCUAGAGGAUUUGCUGCUUGAGUUCCUUGAGCAGCCUGAGUGACAAGUCGUCUGGUCCGGUGGACUUGUUUGUCUCGAGUUUGUCUAGGUACUUUUUCACAUCCCGUUCAUCGAUUGUGCCAAUUUCUAGGGGAGUGAUUCCCAUCAGUGGGGUAGGGCUCUUGGGUACGGACUGGGUGUUCUCGACCGUGAACACAGACGCGAAGUUUCUGUUUAGGAUUUCAACCAUUUGUCUGCUGUCCUGUGUUAGUACGUCACUUUCAUCUUUUAGGGGACCGAUAUUGCUUUUUGUCUUCUUUUUGGUUCUUAUAUACAUGAAGAACUUUUUCGGGUUGGACUUGGCUUCGCGUGCAAUCUGCUUUUCAGAGUCGCGUUUACGCUGGCGAAUAAGAGUUCUGCAGGCUCUGAGGCUUUGAUGGUACUGUUCGCGAGCCUCGUCAGUGCUGUUUUCCUUUAGCAAGUUGUAUUUUCUCUUCUUUAAAUUAAUCGCCUGUCGAACUUGGGUAGUCAUCCAUGGUGGGCUUGUGGCCAUUAUUUGUUCUCCUAGUCUUCAUGGGAACAGUUGUUCUCUCUACCUCUAGGAGUUUGUUCUUGAAACCGUUCCACGUGCCAUCCACAGGAGGAGGUGGAGGACAUACAAAGAGAGGAUUGAAGGAGGUGGAAGGUCGCGGAAGACAACAAAGGGAAGGGUGGAGAGGUGUUGAGGUGGGGAGCGUAGAGUUGUGCCGUUGUUCAUACUGUGGCAAACGACGCCAUGUUAUGAGAUAUCUUUCAUUCUUUUUAUCCAUCCUCAAGGGCAAAGGAUUCUGAGGUGUGUCUAUUUCCUGACAUUUUUUUUUUUUAUCACUCCUCCAAGUACUAUACCUCAAAUUCAUUAACCAUGGCCUUUUCUGAACAUUUUAUUUAUUUCCAGAUGUAGCCCAAGAUACCGGUAAGGGCUGUGUG